UCCAGACUCCUACGGGAGGCAGCAGUGGGGGAUAUUGCACAAUGGGGGAAACCCUGAUGCAGCGACGCCGCGUGAGUGAAGAAGUAAUUCGUUACGUAAAGCUCUAUCAGCAGGGAAGAAAAUGACGGUACCUGACUAAGAAGCCCCGGCUAACUACGUGCCAGCAGCCGCGGUAAUACGUAGGGGGCAAGCGUUAUCCGGAUUUACUGGGUGUAAAGGGAGCGUAGGUGGCAUGGUAAGCCAGAAGUGAAAACCCGGGGCUCAACCCCGCGGAUUGCUUUUGGAACUAUCAGGCUGGAGUGCCGGAGGGGUAAGCGGAAUUCCUAGUGUAGCGGUGAAAUGCGUAGAUAUUAGGAGGAACACCGGUGGCGAAGGCGGCUUACUGGACAGAAACUGACACUGAGGCUCGAAAGCGUGGGGAGCAAACAGGAUUAGAUACCCGGGUA
RNAcentral lists this ribosomal RNA (446 nucleotides) under uncultured bacterium. RNAcentral describes it as "bacterial SSU rRNA". It matches the Rfam family "Bacterial small subunit ribosomal RNA", at positions 330 to 792 of the family's 1533-position model. The record is from RNAcentral.